This 497-nucleotide ribosomal RNA is filed under the name uncultured bacterium. Its description in RNAcentral is "partial 16S ribosomal RNA". It matches the Rfam family "Bacterial small subunit ribosomal RNA", at positions 28 to 507 of the family's 1533-position model. The record is from RNAcentral.
GAUGAACGCUGGCGGCGUGCCUAAUACAUGCAAGUCGAGCGAACGGACGAGAAGCUUGCUUUUCUGAUGUUAGCGGCGGACGGGUGAGUAACACGUGGAUAACCUACCUAUAAGACUGGGAUAACUUCGGGAAACCGGAGCUAAUACCGGAUAAUAUUUUGAACCGCAUGGUUCAAAAGUGAAAGACGGUCUUGCUGUCACUUAUAGAUGGAUCCGCGCUGCAUUAGCUAGUUGGUAAGGUAACGGCUUACCAAGGCAACGAUGCAUAGCCGACCUGAGAGGGUGAUCGGCCACACUGGAACUGAGACACGGUCAAGACUCCUACGGGAGGCAGCAGUAGGGAAUCUUCCGCAAUGGGCGAAAGCCUGACGGAGCAACGCCGCGUGAGUGAUGAAGGUCUUCGGAUCGUAAAACUCUGUUAUUAGGGAAGAACAUAUGUGUAAGUAACUGUGCACAUCUUGACGGUACCUAAUCAGAAAGCCACGGCUAACUACGUG